Molecule: unclassified non-coding RNA, 291 nt
Filed under: uncultured Sebacinales
Lineage: Eukaryota; Fungi; Basidiomycota; Agaricomycetes; Sebacinales
Description: sequence contains ITS2
Source: RNAcentral
AACGCACCUUGCACCCUUUGGUAUUCCGAAGGGUACACCCGUUUGAGUGUCAUUGUAAUCUCACUUCAACCACUUUUGUGAUGUUGAAUGUGGACUUGGAUGUUGCCGUGUCCAACGGCUCAUCUGAAAUGCUUGAGUGUACCCUGCUUUGCAGCGUAUCAGUGUGAUAAACAUCUUCACUGUUAAGUCUCUAGGGACACGCUAGUGUUGCAGGCUCUAUGCUUCCAACCGUCUCAGGACAAUCUCUGACAAUUUGACCUCAAAUCGGGUGGGACUACCCGCUGAACUUAA